AGUGAACGCUGGCGGUAGGCCUAACACAUGCAAGUCGAACGGCAGCACAGUAAGAGCUUGCUCUUACGGGUGGCGAGUGGCGGACGGGUGAGGAAUACAUCGGAAUCUACUUUUUCGUGGGGGAUAACGUAGGGAAACUUACGCUAAUACCGCAUACGACCUACGGGUGAAAGCAGGGGAUCUUCGGACCUUGCGCGAUUGAAUGAGCCGAUGUCGGAUUAGCUAGUUGGCGGGGUAAAGGCCCACCAAGUCGACGAUCCGUAGCUGGUCUGAGAGGAUGAUCGGCCACACUUGAACUGAGACACGGUCCAGACUCCUACGGGAGGCAGCAGUGGGGAAUAUUGGACAAUGGGCGCAAGCCUGAUCCAGCCAUACCGCGUGGGUGAAGAAGGCCUUCGGGUUGUAAAACCCUUUUGUUGGGAAAGAAAAGCAGCAGGUUAAUACCCCGCUGUUCUGACGGUACCCAAAGAAUAAGCACCGGCUAACUUCGUG
RNAcentral lists this ribosomal RNA (492 nucleotides) under uncultured bacterium. RNAcentral describes it as "partial 16S ribosomal RNA". It matches the Rfam family "Bacterial small subunit ribosomal RNA", at positions 29 to 507 of the family's 1533-position model. The record is from RNAcentral.